AAGUCGAGCGAGAAGCUACCUUCGGGUAGUGGACAGCGGCGCACGGGUGAGUAACGCGUACACAAUCUACCUUAUAGAGGAGAAUAGCCCUGGGAAACUGGGAUUAAUGCUCCAUAGUAUUACACUUUGGCAUCAAGGUGUAAUUAAAGCUCCGGCGCUAUAAGAUGAGUGUGCGUACUAUUAGCUAGUUGGUAAGGUAACGGCUUACCAAGGCUACGAUAGUUAGGGGGCGUGAGAGCGUGACCCCCCACACGGGUACUGAGACACGGACCCGACUCCUACGGGAGGCAGCAGUAAGGAAUAUUGGACAAUGGGCGCAAGCCUGAUCCAGCCAUCCCGCGUGGAGGAUGACUGCCCUAUGGGUUGUAAACUCCUUUUAUUUGAGAAGAAACGCCUGGAUUUAUCCGGGCCUGACGGUAUCUUAUGAAUAAGCACCGGCUAACUCCGUGCCAGCAGCCGCGGUAAUACGGAGGGUGCAAGCGUUAUCCGGAAUCACUGGGUUUAAAGGGUGCGUAGGUGGUUUAGUAAGUCAGAUGUGAAAGCCCGGCGCUCAACGUCGGAAUUGCAUUUGAUACUGCUGAACUUGAAUCAGGUUGAGGUGGGCGGAAUGUGGCAUGUA
This 619-nucleotide ribosomal RNA is filed under the name uncultured bacterium. RNAcentral describes it as "bacterial SSU rRNA". It matches the Rfam family "Bacterial small subunit ribosomal RNA", at positions 59 to 677 of the family's 1533-position model. The record is from RNAcentral.